Molecule: ribosomal RNA, 466 nt
Filed under: uncultured bacterium
Lineage: Bacteria
Description: bacterial SSU rRNA
Rfam family: Bacterial small subunit ribosomal RNA
Source: RNAcentral
CUGGCGGCGUGCUUAACACGAUAGCAAGUCGAGCGAUGAAGCUCUUCGGAAGUGGAUUAGCGGCGACGGGUGAGUAACACGUGGGUAACCUGCCUCAUAGAGGGGAAUAGCCUUCCGAAAGGAAGAUUAAUACCGCAUAAGAUUGUAAUAUCGCAUGAUAUAGCAAUUAAAGGAGCAAUCCACUAUGAGAUGGACCCGCGUCGCAUUAGCUAGUUGGUGAGGUAACGGCUCACCAAGGCGACGAUGCGUAGCCGACCUGAGAGGGUGAUCGGCCACAUUGGGACUGAGACACGGCCCAGACUCCUACGGGAGGCAGCAGUGGGGAAUAUUGCACAAUGGGGGAAACCCUGAUGCAGCCAACGCCGCGUGAGUGAUGACGGUCUUCGGAUUGUAAAGCUCUGUCUUCAGGGACGAUAAUGACGGUACCUGAGGAGGAAGCCACGGCUAACUACGUGCCAGCAGCCGC